UCUGGGUAUUAAAACCAAGUUAAAACAUCUUUCCAGGAUUGUUAUUGUUCUGUAUCAAACGACAUGGAAUUCAUAGUGUGGCUACUGUGUUGUGAAUUUCCUGUCCUAUCGACAAUAGGUGUAGCAUCUGCGUAUGACAACGUUGCAUUAGGUAAGCCUGCAUGGCAACAGUAUCCAUUUUUCUAAAGUAAACUGGGGAGCAGAUAAAGCGGUGGAUGGGAAGUAUUCUAUCCGGACAGCCCAAGGAGGACAGUGUACGAUCUCUGACAAUUUUAAAACAACAGCAACCUGGCGGGUAGAUUUAGGAGACGUUCUCAGUAUACACCAUAUAACGAUAUACUACAGGACGGAUAAUAUAGUAUGGGACGCAAGGAACGGACACAUACCCCGAUUCCUUGGAUUCUCUCUUUACGUAUCAAACACGACCAACAAAGACGAGGGGAUUCUAUGUUUUAAGGAUACAAAGUACACAAGGGCCACAAUGCCGGAUAAUGUAACCAUAGAAUGUGUAACACAUGGACGUUACGUCAUCUACUACAAUGAGAGACUCCCAGGAGUUACCUACCCUGCGGAAUAUUCUCGA
Molecule: long non-coding RNA, 583 nt
Organism: Saccostrea cuccullata (small rock oyster)
Lineage: Eukaryota; Metazoa; Mollusca; Bivalvia; Ostreida; Ostreidae
Exons: 3
Source: RefSeq, a predicted model, not a curated record